Molecule: long non-coding RNA, 790 nt
Filed under: Monodelphis domestica (gray short-tailed opossum)
Lineage: Eukaryota; Metazoa; Chordata; Mammalia; Didelphimorphia; Didelphidae
Description: lncRNA (ENSMODG00000031819.2)
Source: RNAcentral
UGCACAAAUAGCUGAGAAUGUAAUAUAAUUACAGUUCAUAUUCCAUUGUUUAUUGUUUCUCCCCCAAAAUCAUUGUUGUAUUUUCAUAUUUGUGGCAUAGGAAAAAAAAAGGAAGAAAACAUAACCCAUCUAGAAUAAGAGUGUAACUGUGGUUCCCAUUAAGAGUCAUGUGGAAGUAAUUCCUAUAGCAUCAGAGGUGACAACAAGAAGGGAGCAGUUUGAUAACAGUAGUUUGGGCAGUUUUUAUUCAAAUUCAUGCCUCUAGGAAAUCUGGAGACCUAAAUGCUAAAGAAGCAAACAAUAAGUUACAAACUGUUCUUUUAAAAAAUAUUAAUCAUUUAUCCAAUAGGCUAGAAUGCUGAGGAGGAAGGAAAGAAGGAAAUAUGGAGUAACUGACAACCCUUUCCCCAUUUCCCUUGACUUAUAUCAGGUGCCACGGGCAUGAGAGUGCUGGCUGAGUUCAGAGUGCAGCAGAGGAGAUUUUUGAUUCAAGAAAAAUUUCAAUCAAAUGCCAAAAAGUUUAAUGCAGAAGAUAUAAAGUAUCUUCCUUCUCUUUGCUUUAAUUUGCUGUAAAUAAGGAGGAAUUCUAUUUGGACUACUCUUCUGCUUUAACAACUGCAUCCUGUGAUCAAAUGUGAUCGACUUUGCUACUAAAGGCAAUGAUCCAGGACAACAUUGAAGGACUUAUGAGGAAGAAUGCUAUCCACGUCUAGAUAAAGAACCGUGGGAGUAGAAAUCUAGAAGAAAAUAUGUGAUUUAUCACUUGUUUUUAUGGGCAUGUGAUUUCGAG